AUCAGAAGCUUCCUGUCGAAGCAACCCGGUACCACGACGAGAAAACUCCGGCGAUCGGCCGUCUCCUCCGCCGUCCCUUCUACGCCAUGAAUUCGAGAUCCUCAUCGCGCGCCGCCUCCAACGGCCCCGCCUUCCCCUCCUUCUCCGCUCCCUCUGGUGACUCCCGCAAGAGGAGCAGAAACCCUCCCACCACAAACCCACAAAGGCCUCUCCGCUCGAAGACCAAGGCCCCUUUCGCCGACUUUCGAAGUUACAUGGUGGAGAAGAACCGGAAGCUGCGGGCCCAGUUCCAAGCAGACGCGACCACUUCGUCCCUCGGCGCUGGCAGCGGCCAUGCUGACUCCGGCGAUGAAAAGGGAAUAUUCCAUGGGGUUUCCAUUUUCGUUGAUGGACUUACCAUUCCGUCCAGUCAGGAACUGAGGGGGUAUAUGCUGAAGCAUGGUGGGCGGUUCGAGAAUUACUUCUCGAAGCAUACUGUGACUCAUAUCAUUUGUGGCAAUCUACCUGAUAGUAAAAUGAGAAACCUUCGGGCAUUCAGCCAUGGACUGCCUGUUGUGAGACCUCAGUGGGUGCUGGAUUGUCUGGCAGCUAAUAGGCUUUUGAGUUGUGCUCCUUAUCAACUUGGGGGGCUUGUGAAUGGAACCUGCAAACAACAGAAACUUUCAACUUACUUUCAUCACCAGGGCAUCUCAAGCUGUAAUGAUGCUAGAACUACUGUUAAUCAUGAUGUGAAAAUUGAUGUGGAUCCUAAGCAAUUAGUAUUACCUCCAGAGGGCCAAUGUUUUAGAUGCGAUGGGCCCAGUGGCCAAGCCAGUGAAGAGUUGGAAUGCAUGAAAGUUGAAAAAUUGUAUGGAGAGAUAAAUGCAAACCCAGAAUCAACUGAUCUGGAGGUCAAGUUUAGUGUUCCACCUGCAUCUGGUGUCAUUCCUACUCCUUUAAGUAUGAUUAAUAAGAGUUACAUGGGCCAUCAAAAAAUACAUGAAUCUUUGGAUUCAAGUGUAAAUUGCAUAGGAGCUUCCAAUCAGGUACACUCAACACUUACAGAUCCAAACUUCGUGGAGAACUACUUCAAGAGCUCUAGGCUGCAUUUCAUUGGAACCUGGAGAAAUCGAUAUCGAAAGCGUUUCUCUAACUUGCUCACUGGAUAUAAGAGCAGCAAUGAGAAAACCAAUUGUUGUGUGGCCAAGCACAAAGCUUCAAUUAUACAUGUAGAUAUGGACUGCUUUUUUGUAUCAGUGAUCAUAAGAAACUUCCCAGACUUGGUAGAUAAGCCUGUAGCAGUGUGCCACUCGAACAAUCCUAGAGGAACAGCUGAAAUAUCCUCUGCAAAUUAUGUGGCAAGAAAUUAUGGAGUGAAGGCUGGGACGUUUGUCAGAGAUGCCAAGGCUUGCUGCCCUCAUCUUGUUAUCUUGCCUUAUGACUUUGAGGCUUAUGAAGAGGUAGCUGAGCAGUUUUAUAGUAUAUUGCAUAAACACUGCAGCAAAGUUCAGGCGUUAAGCUGUGAUGAAGCAUUUUUGGAUGUGACAGGAUGUGACGACGAUCCUGAAGAAAUUGCAUCAAUGAUUAGGAAGGAGAUCGAAGAUACCACCCGCUGCACAGCCAGUGCAGGUAUUGCUGGAAAUUUGCUUCUGGCUUAUUUGGCUACUAGAUCUGCUAAACCAAAUGGCCAACGAUUCAUUCCAUCUGAGAAGGUUGAGGACUAUUUGAAAGAUCUUCCUGUCAUGGCACUUCCAGGCAUUGGGUAUGCUACAUAUGAGAAGCUGAAGAGCAGACAAAUUCAAACUUGUGGUCAGAUGUACAUGAUACCGAAGGAAGCUCUACAGAAGGACUUUGGUAUAAGAAUUGGUGAUAUGUUGUGGAAUUAUUGUCGAGGAAUUGAUAAUCGAACAGUUGAAGUUGUUCAGGAAAGAAAAUCCGUCGGAGCUGAAGUUAAUUGGGGAAUUAGGUUCAAUAACCUCACAGAUUGUCAUCAUUUCCUUGUGAACCUCUGCAAGGAGGUCUCAUUGCGGCUGCAAGGAUGUGGAUUGCAAGGACGUGCUAUUACAUUAAAGGUAAAAAAAAGAAAGAAAGGAGCAGCAAAGCCAUUAAAGUUUAUGGGCUGUGGAGACUGUGAAAGUGUGAGCCGGUCCAUUACGGUACCUGUUGCCACAGAUAAUGUAGUUGCACUUCAGAGAAUAGCCAAGCAGAUUUUUGCUUCUUUUCAUGUUGAUGUCAAGGAAGUUCGUGGCAUUGGCUUGCACAUGACAAAGCUUGAGAGCUCGGAUAUUAGUAGAAAAGGGCAUGUGGACAAUGCACUAGAAUCGUGGCUCAGUUCUUCCACGGUUGACACUGGAAAAAAAAGUGAACAAAUUACUUGUGCAGAUAAACAGUGUGAUAAUGGAGGUUUGCCAUUGCCUAAUGGGGAACCUCAAUCAAGAUGCAUAUAUGGUUCAAAUCAACAAGAUUUGGGGAAAUCUAAGUCUUUGUGUGAUAGUGAUACUGGUUAUAAUUGUCUUCCAGAUAAGGAUGCAAGGUGUUGCAGAUCUUAUGAAAUGAGAGCCUCAGCAUUGCCUCGUCUAUGUGAUCUAGAUAUAGAUGUAGUUAAGGAUCUUCCUAGAGAUAUAGUAUUGGAAAUGGAUGAUAUUUAUGAGGGGGAACUUUCUGAUCUUAUCCGGAAGAGUGAAAAGAAGGGUAGCCGCAGCAGCUCAUGCUCCUCCAGUGUAUCCUUGCCAAAUGAGGACACUAAUGUUAUUGAUGGUUACAUAGCUAGUGGGCAUGUUGAUUCUCCAGAACUGGAUUUAGGUGCUAAAGAUAAAGGGAAGCUGCCUGUUCGUGAGACUUUGAAUCCAAAAACAGUUGAUCCUUGUAGAAGUAAGAAUCCAAAUAAGAAGGCUCAAGUCUCUGUAUUAGAAAAUGUGAAGUCUGUGGAGAGAACAUGUCUGAAAAUUCAAUCACACAAUUCUUGCUCAAGAUUAAACGAGCUGCAUAUUACCUCAACCAUGGGGCCACAACAGUUAAUGCCUGCAUCGCUUAGCCAAGCAGAUGCUUCAGUUCUGGAACAGUUGCCUGAAGAUGUAAAGGCUGAUAUAUGUGGCUUCCUUCCAGUUCACAGGAAAAUAAAAGUAUGUAAGGAUGUUCCUUUUGGGUUUGAUGUUCCAAACAGUGUUAAACAUUCCAGUCCAUGGUAUACCAAAUCAUAUCUUUGGUUGGGCAGUCCACCAUUUUGGGUGGAGAAAUUCAAGAUAAGCAACAGCUACUUUUUGAAUGCAAUUGCUAUGUUGUAUGCCGAAUCUGGCAAGGAUAUUCUUCUCUCUUCUAUUCUUCAGUCUAUAACUCCAUUGCUUUCAUCAGUUUCUGAGUCAAGUUGUGAAGAAUAUGAUGAAGCACUUCAUAGCUUGCAUGAGGUUAUUUCGCAGUAUAUUGUUCUAAAGAUUGGAUCUGAUGUGGAGGAGCUUUACAAUUGCUUUUGUUUUCUGAAACGGUUUUCUACGGUGUCAAAGUUGUUAUUGCGAGUAUACAACAGUACACUUCCUCUUUUUCAGGCUUCCAUGAGUGAGAUCUACGGAGGAAAAUUACGGCUUUCUGUUAUUCGUGAAAAGCCUGGUGAAGAAUGAAAUUGCUGUUUGUUGAACCAUUGUGCUUCAGGGUUCACUGCAUCUUGACAUUGAUGCUUGGUCCUUGUGGGGGGUUCACAGAUAAAAUUUUGGUUUUGUACAUAGCAAGCACUUCUUGGUUUUAAUAAUGUAUAUAUGCCUGGCAGUGAGAUACGAGUGAUCCAAAAAAAUAUGAAGUAACAAAUAAAAGGAAACAAUGGAGGAAUUGCGUUGAUCUGUCAUAGUUGAUGCAUCAAUUAUUUGUGGCAGCAACUACAGUGGGUAGCCUGGUUUGUUCUAUAAGAAAAUAGAAAGAUAAUUGGCUGAUGCCACACCAGUAUCCAGUAGCACAGUGAGAUCUUGUGGCCCAACAACGUCAUGACAGUCCGAUAAAUGGACAUAUCAUCUAUAGGAAGGACUGGUGGGUUGCAUGUCUCCAUCGAAAGAGCUAAUAUCUAGCCUCACGGUCAUAAUUGGACAAAAGAAUUCAACUCUUCUAAGACAUGAGAGAAUCACUGGUGUCUGCCGUGCCACAUCCUUAUCAAGUGUUUGAAUGGACCUUUCUUAGCUGGAGAAUAAGAACGAACCCUUGAUUGAGUCCGAAUAAUCACCGAUCUGAUUCUCAGUAUCGACGGCUAAAGUUCAAAUAGGAUCUCCACAUGGUGAGGCUCAUCCAGAAAGUGUCUCCACGGAAGGCAGAUGAAGAAGGCUUUCUUCUGAUAUCAGGUGCCACUGCCUCGAAAAAUCUGCCGAUUGGCAUCGGUAAUCCAAAGAACAUCCAGUGGAACACAAUGAACUCUUUCCACUCUUCUUAUCAGAUAGCAGUGUGCGACAUGUAGAGCCAAGGAAACAGGAAUCCAAUGCAUAGAGUUAGCCAUGAGGCAAGAAGUACGAAAUGGGGCCGUCUUGGAUUUGACCCUCGUUCGGACAGAUUAUAGCCGACCACCUCCUGCAGCUUAUUCAAUGUCACCUCAAACAUCCCCAUCCAUGGAUAGAUGACAAUUUGGCUUGUCUUGGUGAUGUCUUUUCUUUAUUUUAAGGGUUUGGAUGGGAAAGUAUUCAUCCAAAUUAUUAUAUUAGAUGAAGAGGAAGCAACCAAAUAGCGGAAAUGAUUUGCUUUUAUUUAUUUAUGCUUCUCUUUCAUCAUUCAUCAGAGUAAGAGCCGUCAACCCCUACAUCAGCCAGCAGCCAUCCGCCACGCAUAUCUCGAGAAAGGUGCGUCCAAGAUUCCAGCUUCCGGCCCUACCGUCUCGGAAUCCUGCAUCAGGUAGGCGGCCGGGAAUCUGACCUCUCUUAUCGUCGUCGCUACUCCAUGAAUAGAAGUGUUUGAUGAAAUGCCUCGCAGAGUUUUUCGUUAGGGGUACUACUGUUAACAUUGCAUGAGUCGAACAUCUUCCUUUGUUGCACUUUGAAUGGUCCAUAAAACGCACACCAACAUCUUCCUUUAUUCUUUUUAUUUCUUUCUUCCUCUGAAACAAAAACUUAUCCCUGUUUCAACGAGGAUGAGGUUGUGGUGUGAUUUGUUUGGCUGUAAGCUUUCCACCUCUCUCCCUUUCUUUCGGAUUGAAGUUUUCUGACACUCCAUCCACCCAACCCACUGCCAC
This is an RNA transcript of Musa acuminata AAA Group (dessert banana), 5176 nucleotides long. It is a transcript of the gene named DNA repair protein REV1-like, with no coding region annotated. The transcript is spliced from 27 exons. The record is from RefSeq and is a predicted model, not a curated record. Lineage: Eukaryota; Viridiplantae; Streptophyta; Magnoliopsida; Zingiberales; Musaceae.